This 253-nucleotide ribosomal RNA is filed under the name uncultured bacterium. RNAcentral's name for it is "partial 16S ribosomal RNA". It matches the Rfam family "Bacterial small subunit ribosomal RNA", at positions 524 to 776 of the family's 1533-position model. The record is from RNAcentral.
UACGGAGGGUGCAAGCGUUAUCCGGAUUCACUGGGUUUAAAGGGUGCGUAGGCGGGCAGGUAAGUCAGUGGUGAAAUCUCCGGGCUUAACCCGGAAACUGCCGUUGAUACUAUCUGUCUUGAAUAUCGUGGAGGUAAGCGGAAUAUGUCAUGUAGCGGUGAAAUGCUUAGAUAUGACAUAGAACACCCAUUGCGAAGGCAGCUUACUACACGAUCAUUGACGCUGAGGCACGAAAGCGUGGGGAUCAAACAGG